RNAcentral lists this ribosomal RNA (722 nucleotides) under uncultured bacterium. RNAcentral's name for it is "bacterial SSU rRNA". It matches the Rfam family "Bacterial small subunit ribosomal RNA", at positions 728 to 1449 of the family's 1533-position model. The record is from RNAcentral.
UNUGGUCUGUCACUGACGCUGAGGCUNGAAAGCGUGGGUAGCGAACAGGAUUAGAUACCCUGGUAGUCCACGCCGUAAACGAUGAGUGCUAGGUGUUAGGCCCUUUCCGGGGCUUAGUGCCGGAGCUAACGCAAUAAGCANUCCGCCUGGGGAGUACGACCGCAAGGUUGAAACUCAAAGGAAUUGACGGGGGCCCGCACAAGCGGUGGAGCAUGUGGUUUAAUUCGAAGCAACGCGAAGAACCUUACCAGGUCUUGACAUCCCGAUGCUAUUCUUAGAGAUAGGAAGUUACUUCGGUACAUCGGAGACAGGUGGUGCAUGGUUGUCGUCAGCUCGUGUCGUGAGAUGUUGGGUUAAGUCCCGCAACGAGCGCAACCCUUAUUGUUAGUUGCCAUCAUUAAGUUGGGCACUCUAGCGAGACUGCCGGUAAUAAACCGGAGGAAGGUGGGGAUGACGUCAAAUCAUCAUGCCCCUUAUGACCUGGGCUACACACGUGCUACAAUGGUCGGUACAACGAGUUGCGAGCCGGUGACGGCAAGCUAAUCUCUGAAAGCCGAUCUCAGUUCGGAUUGGAGGCUGCAACUCGCCUCCAUGAAGUCGGAAUCGCUAGUAAUCGCGGAUCAGCACGCCGCGGUGAAUACGUUCCCGGGCCUUGUACACACCGCCCGUCACACCACGAGAGUUUGUAACACCCGAAGUCGGUGAGGUAACCUUUUAGGGNC